Molecule: ribosomal RNA, 497 nt
Filed under: uncultured bacterium
Lineage: Bacteria
Description: partial 16S ribosomal RNA
Rfam family: Bacterial small subunit ribosomal RNA
Source: RNAcentral
GAUGAACGCUGGCGGCGUGCCUAAUACAUGCAAGUCGAGCGAACAGACGAGGAGCUUGCUCCUCUGACGUUAGCGGCGGACGGGUGAGUAACACGUGGAUAACCUACCUAUAAGACUGGGAUAACUUCGGGAAACCGGAGCUAAUACCGGAUAAUAUAUUGAACCGCAUGGUUCAAUAGUGAAAGACGGUUUUGCUGUCACUUAUAGAUGGAUCCGCGCCGCAUUAGCUAGUUGGUAAGGUAACGGCUUACCAAGGCAACGAUGCGUAGCCGACCUGAGAGGGUGAUCGGCCACACUGGAACUGAGAAACGGUCCAAAACCCUACGGGAAGGCGGCGUAGGGAAUCUUCCGGAAUGGGCGAAAGGCUUACGGAGCAAAGGCGCGUGAGUGAAGAAGGGUUUCGGAACGGAAAACUCUGUUAUUAGGGAAGAACAAAUGUGUAAGUAACUAUGCACGUCUUGACGGUACCUAAUCAAAAAGCCACGGCUAACUACGUG